AAAGAAAAUCAUAUGAGAAAAUAUGUCCAAAAGUUAAAAUUUCAAAAUAGAUGAUAUAUACCAGAAAGCAUUACAAAAAUAACAAUAAAAAGUAUUUUAAAAAUAAAAGGACAAGACAUAAGACAAUCUGCCAAUGCAUGUUAGAGAAGGAAUAGGAAAAGUAAUUUCACUAUAUUUCUGACUAGGACAGGACCUAUUACAAAAAUAUUUUUUGGUGGGGCAACAACCCUGAAAAUACAGAUUUCCCAUCCUUUCUUUCAAUUCUAGCAAAAUACAGUUGGGACGGGUUAAUUCAAAACCCUCAAGUAAAAUAAGAAGAGCCUUUCCAUUAUGCACUAUCA
Molecule: unclassified non-coding RNA, 341 nt
Filed under: Hevea brasiliensis (rubber tree)
Lineage: Eukaryota; Viridiplantae; Streptophyta; Magnoliopsida; Malpighiales; Euphorbiaceae
Source: RNAcentral